AACGCUAGCUACAGGCUUAACACAUGCAAGUCGAGGGGAAACGAUAGAGAAAGCUUGCUUUUUCUAGGCGUCGACCGGCGCACGGGUGAGUAACGCGUAUCCAACCUGCCCAUCACUUGGGGAUAACCUUGCGAAAGUAAGACUAAUACCCAAUGAUGUCCAUAGAAGACAUCUGAAAUGGAUUAAAGAUUUAUCGGUGAUGGAUGGGGAUGCGUCUGAUUAGCUUGUUGGCGGGGUAACGGCCCACCAAGGCAACGAUCAGUAGGGGUUCUGAGAGGAAGGUCCCCCACAUUGGAACUGAGACACGGUCCAAACUCCUACGGGAGGCAGCAGUGAGGAAUAUUGGUCAAUGGGCGAGAGCCUGAACCAGCCAAGUAGCGUGCAGGAUGACGGCCCUAUGGGUUGUAAACUGCUUUUAUAAGGGAAUAAAGUGAGCCUCGUGAGGCUUUUUGCAUGUACCUUAUGAAUAAGGACCGGCUAAUUCCGUGCCAGCAGCCGCGGUAAUACGGAAGGUCCGGGCGUUAUCCGGAUUUAUUGGGUUUAAAGGGAGCGUAGGCCGGAGAUUAAGCGUGUUGUGAAAUGUAGAUGCUCAACAUCUGCACUGCAGCGCGAACUGGUUUCCUUGAGUACGCACAAAGUGGGCGGAAUUCGUGGUGUAGCGGUGAAAUGCUUAGAUAUCACGAAGAACUCCGAUUG
This 696-nucleotide ribosomal RNA is filed under the name uncultured bacterium. RNAcentral describes it as "bacterial SSU rRNA". It matches the Rfam family "Bacterial small subunit ribosomal RNA", at positions 32 to 715 of the family's 1533-position model. The record is from RNAcentral.